GGUCUUGUAUUCAUUUAAUGAUAUUAAAUUGCAAAUUUAAUGGUGGAUAUUAUUAUCCUUAGACCU
Molecule: transfer RNA, 66 nt
Filed under: Nemoptera coa
Lineage: Eukaryota; Metazoa; Arthropoda; Insecta; Neuroptera; Nemopteridae
Description: tRNA-Cys
Source: RNAcentral